AUGCAAGUCGAGCGGACAGAUGGGAGCUUGCUCCCUGAUGUUAGCGGCGGACGGGUGAGUAACACGUGGGUAACCUGCCUGUAAGACUGGGAUAACUCCGGGAAACCGGGGCUAAUACCGGAUGGUUGUCUGAACCGCAUGGUUCAGACAUAAAAGGUGGCUUCGGCUACCACUUACAGAUGGACCCGCGGCGCAUUAGCUAGUUGGUGAGGUAACGGCUCACCAAGGCGACGAUGCGUAGCCGACCUGAGAGGGUGAUCGGCCACACUGGGACUGAGACACGGCCCAGACUCCUACGGGAGGCAGCAGUAGGGAAUCUUCCGCAAUGGACGAAAGUCUGACGGAGCAACGCCGCGUGAGUGAUGAAGGUUUUCGGAUCGUAAAGCUCUGUUGUUAGGGAAGAACAAGUGCCGUUCAAAUAGGGCGGCACCUUGACGGUACCUAACCAGAAAGCCACGGCUAACUACGUGCCAGCAGCCGCGGUAAUACGUAGGUGGCAAGCGUUGUCCGGAAUUAUUGGG
RNAcentral lists this ribosomal RNA (521 nucleotides) under Bacillus velezensis. RNAcentral describes it as "bacterial SSU rRNA". It matches the Rfam family "Bacterial small subunit ribosomal RNA", at positions 55 to 558 of the family's 1533-position model. The record is from RNAcentral. Lineage: Bacteria; Bacillati; Bacillota; Bacilli; Caryophanales; Bacillaceae.